Long non-coding RNA from Bubalus bubalis (water buffalo), 3079 nucleotides. RefSeq lists it as uncharacterized. The record is from RefSeq and is a predicted model, not a curated record. Lineage: Eukaryota; Metazoa; Chordata; Mammalia; Artiodactyla; Bovidae. The transcript is spliced from 3 exons.
CAUGCAGUUUCUUUACUAACUGAGCCACCUGGGAAGCCCUAGGCUUACAAGUAUUAUGGGUCAAAGGUUGGCAACUGGCUUCGCCCUCAUCCCUACCAGCUGGAACCAAUCUCCUGGCCUGUAACAAGGGCUGGAACCUUGCUGUUUAUCUCCCUGGUGUGCCCCCAGCACCUAGGAUACUAUCUGCACAAGGCUGACACUCCGUUCCUGCCCUGGGCUCCUGGGCUCUCACACCCCCACACCAGGAUCACCCCCACAUCAGCCUCAUGAUGGCCUGUUUUCUCAUCAGUCAAUACUCUCAGGAAUGAAUACAUGAAUGGAAUGAGUUACGAGAGUGAAGGAGAAGAGUCCCUUUGGCCUUCAUGAAGUAAUGCUUGAAGAUUCCAAGGAUUAAGAUCUGAACAUUUUAGGAGGCUCUUUGCAUCAACCACCAUUCUCCCCAACACGCCCAGAUCUUCCCUGGGCCACGCCUCUGCAGCCUUCUGAUUUCAGCUUAAACUGUAUCAAUCAAAGGAGUAUUUUUAGGAUCCCUCUGUUGAAAGGGGCUCCGGCACCUCUCCCAUCCACAGCUCCGCCCUUAGUAGCCCCUCCCUCCUCUUGCUUCUUUCCUUCCUGGCAGUAACUGUAAUGACGCAGAGUAUUUACCUAUUUUAUUUUCUCAUACUCUCUGCCUCUGUAUCGUUGGCUUCUGCUAGCCCAGCACCCAGCACCAAGCCUGGCACAUAGUAUGAGCACAAUAACUGUUUGUUACAUGAAUAGAUGAGUUGGCAGUUUGUCUUUGAACGGACUCACAAAGCUUUCAGCUGACUUAGAGGCCCUGUGAUAGCACAGUCGAUGGGAAGGAAUUUGAGGCUGGAGAGUCCCGAAGUUGACUUCCGGAUUUCACUGUGAUUUCUCUACUCUUAGCUUCCCUGAGCCUCCGUGGGCAGACAGUCCUCUUCAUGUAAGGUACGCAGUGAACACCCACGACCUGCCCAGCACAUCUGAGGUGUGCAGUCAACACUGGUUCCGAUCCCAUGGGAGCAGCAUCGGCACCACGUGGGGCCUUCAAGAGUUUCAAGGUUCUUGGGUCCCACCCAGACCCACUGGAUCAGAAAUGCUAGGGGUGGGCCUGGGGAUCUUUAACAUGCCCUCCAGGGGGUUCUUUGCAUGCCCAUGUGUCAGAACUCCUGGGGGCCAUGUUAGCUCUCUGCACUGCACGUGUUUUUAACUUGAUCUGUUUGGCUGUGCUGGGACUUCGCUGUUGCGUGCUGUCGCGGGGGUUGCUCUCUGGGCGUGGUGCACCAGCUUCUUGCCCCAGUGUCUUCUCUCAUUGUGGAGCACAGGCUCUCGGCUCGCGGGCUCAGUUCCUGCGGCCCCGGGGCUCUGGAGCACUCAGGCUUCAGUAGUUGGGGCCCGUGGGCUUAGCUGUUCCGCAGCAAGUGGGAUCUUCCCAGACGAGGGCUCAAACUGUGUUUCCUACACUGGCAGGUGGGUUCUUUACCACUGAGCCACCAGGGAAGCCCUGCGUGUGUUAAUACCUUCUGCUCAUGACAUGGUGACUAACAUGAAUGUUCCUCCGGGUGUCCCUAAAUCACCACGCGAAUUGCUUGGGGAGACUGACCGAACCCCGGGGACACUGAGAACCAUGGAAGCAGAGGGACCACCCCAUGGCCACACAGCUUGUCCCUGGCACAACCAGAGUCAGAGUCAGGACUGCCGCUCCCGACCCUCUCUUCUCUGCCCAGCGCCCCUCUCAAUGACCCUUGGGGGUGGAGCAGAUGCUUUGGGCAUUUUGACUUUUCUUACUUUGGUGGGUGUGCUGACUCUCAAAGCCCCCUGAGUGAAGGGAACCUGAUUUCAUAUGAGAAAGUGCAGACUUGGGGGUCAGACACGCAGCCUUUCAAGUGCCCACUCCAACAUCGCUGGCUGCGCAACCCCACCCCCGGGGCCGGGCUCCCAUUCCCAGCUCGCGGCAGAUGGGGACAUUGGGGCAGCACCUGGCACCUGAAGGCCAAGGGGACCAGGUCAUCCUCACUGAGCGCCCGCUGCAGCCCCGGCGUCCUCCUGGGACUCACUGGGCGCCCGCUGCAGCCCCGGCGUCCUCCUAGGUGCUCACUGGGUGCCCACUGCAGCCCUGGCUUCCCCCUAGGUGCUCACUGGGCGCCUGCUGCAGCCCCGGCGUCCUCCUAGGUGCUCACUGGGCGCCCGCUGCAGCCCUGGCUUCCUCCUAGGUGCUGGGAGGGUAGAAGGGAAGGAGCAGACAGUCCAGGCCGGGGCCCACUGGAUGCCAUAGAGCACCCCCCACCCUUCCAGCUGAGAGAAUCAAAACUGUCUCCAGUCAACCGUGUUAGGGGCAAAGCUGCCCGUGGUUGAGAAUCACGGGUCUGACCUCAAUCAGGGACACCAAAACGAGGUGAAAUAAGGUGGAACAAAGUGAAACAAGGUCACAGAACUGUAGGUAUCUUUUAAACCCCCUAAGCUACUUAUCCACAUAGCUAGAAUUCCAGGUAGAUAGGCAUAGAGACACAGAUGUAGAAAGAGUUGUAGAUACAGAUGAAGAUACAGAUAGGGAUACAGAGGAACAGGGAGGUAGAGAUAGAUUCCUUCUGGCGCAGGUGGUGAUUAGCGCUCUGAAGAAAAAUAAACCAGGUCCAGGGGCUGACUUAGAACAGGGGUCAGGGCGGGCCUCUCUGAUGAGGUGACUCUGGGCAGAGAGCACUGUGAAAGAGGGAAUCGGCACAGGGAUGUCAGGGUAAGCGAGCUCCAGGCACAGGGAGGGGAGGGAGUCGUGCAAAGGCCCUGAGGCUGACUGUGCAAAGUGAGCGUGAAGCCCAGUGAGAAGGCCAGUGUGCCUGGGCCAGAGGUGGCGAUGCAGGGGCAGCUGAUGAGGUCAGCGAGACGUCAGAGUCCCGGUCAUGUUUGGCCUUGGUGCCAUUGUGACCAUUUCAGGUUUUGCUCUGUGUGAAGAGGGACCCAUAGAGGAUCUGAUCUGAGCAGGGGAAGGAUGUGAUCUGACUUAGACCUUGAAAACCAGGCAAGAAGGGGUGUCAGGAGACUGUGGCAAUGGUCCACACAAAGGAUGGUGGCAGCUUGGAGG